CGCGUCUCGCGUAUCAAAUUAUACGACUGGUACCUUUGAUAACUAUUUACUAUUGUUGUUUUGUGUAUAGUCGUUACUUUUUUCCUAUCAUUGUCUAUUCUGUUUAGCCAAUCCAGACCAACUGGUUUAUUUUACUGACACUGAAACAAACAAAAAACAAACCCCAAGAAAAUAUAAGUUGUCUCGGUUCAUUGACCAUGAAAAAACCAAUUUGCCAAUUUUAAGCAUUAGGGCAAUCAAACAAUUCAUAUUCGUUUUACGAGAGAUCCGAUCCCACAUUGCGUUACAAUGUUAUAUCAUAAAGAAGAUUAAAAUUCAAUUAUGGAAAUAAAUUUUAAGGUUUUCUACGUCAUUUGUUCUCUGUUGGAGAAUUAUGUCAUUGGCAAUCAAACCAUAUCUUCUGAUUUUUAUAUUCAAGAAUAUGCCU
RNAcentral lists this long non-coding RNA (427 nucleotides) under Mytilus galloprovincialis (Mediterranean mussel). The record is from RNAcentral. Lineage: Eukaryota; Metazoa; Mollusca; Bivalvia; Mytilida; Mytilidae.